Mustela erminea (ermine) is the source of this 95-nucleotide long non-coding RNA. RefSeq lists it as uncharacterized. The transcript has 3 exons. The record is from RefSeq and is a predicted model, not a curated record. NCBI's taxonomy places the organism in Eukaryota, Metazoa, Chordata, Mammalia, Carnivora, Mustelidae.
AAAAAAAUCCUAGAACAGAGCUUAGGCAGUAAUUUCUGGACAUCAGCCAUAGGAACAUUUUUCUAGAAAUGUCUCCUGAGGCAAGGGAAACAAAA